This 558-nucleotide unclassified non-coding RNA is filed under the name Hevea brasiliensis (rubber tree). Lineage: Eukaryota; Viridiplantae; Streptophyta; Magnoliopsida; Malpighiales; Euphorbiaceae. The record is from RNAcentral.
CUGCCACUUUUUUUCUUAAUCUCUUCAAUGGUAUACAACAAAUAGUUGCAGCCUUGAUCAUUAUUCCCAGGUGACAUUAAAUUUUUCACAGGGGCUGCAACAAUAAUACUGUUGUUAUUGAUCACAAAUCUGAACAAAGGAAGUCCAUUCCUCAUAGUAAGCAACAGAUGAGCUUUUAUGCUUGAUGCCUCACGCUCUUUGUUUUGAUGUGAUUCAGUAUUGUUAAUUGGCUUAAAGCUGUAGGAAUUCAGGCUUCCUCUGAAUAGUUGAUCAGUUUGAGCAGAAGGAUUUGGAGUUAAACCCUUGGACUUUAGCAAUGGAUCCAAUAAUCUUCUUAAAGGGCUGGAUUUGGAUCUAUGACAACUUGCUUUCUCUCUGUUUGAAUCAUCCAAACCAGCAGAAGCUUUGGAUAACACUGGACCAGACUUCACCGAAACAUGUGUGGAAGUCAACCGUGGAACAGCUGAACUCUCCUUGAAGCUAAAACUUCUGGUCAUCUGACCUAAGCUGAAGCUAAAUCGGCGAUUUGGUGAAGGAUGUCUGCCUUUUCUAGCUGCC